CAGUCUCUCAACCUCUCUCUCUCUCGCUGGUUCUUUCUUUCCUGUGAAAUUUGAAGAAAUGUCAUUGUGGUGGAGACUUCCGGAAGAGACUCAGCUAAUUCUGAAGAUUCAAGUUUUCCAUGUUGAUUCAUAAAUCAUAAGAUGGUUUUCUUUCUCGGGCACACGUUAGACAUGAUGAAUAAAUGUACUUUUGUUUAUUCAUCCAAGUUCAUUGUAUGCUCGUGGUAUUGCUGCAUUAGAUGCUGAGGACGAGGCGAGCAGUAAACCCCCUAAAGGAGGAAUUACCGAAGAUUUUAGUGGAGGAAAUAAGUGACCUGAAUGAUGAGACCGAACCGAAGGUGAUCGAUAAAGAUGAUGGUUUUAGAGUGGAGGAAGUUAAAGUUGGUAGUGCCGAACAGACUGGAAAUCCCUGAAAUAGGAACUACUGAAGAUUGUAGAGGAGGAUAAGGGUAAGCAGAAUGUUGAAACAAAGCUAAGGUGAUUGGCGAAAAUAAUGGCUUGAGAGUGGAUAAGGUUAAAGUUGAUAGAAGCAAAGAGACUGAAUUAGUUGAUCGCCGUGGGAAAGAGUUUUAAGGCUAAGCAGGAGGCCAGCAGAAACCCCCGACAAGAGUCACCACCAAAGAAGAAGAAGUCAGAGAAUAGAAAUGGUAAUCAGAAUGAUCAGACCAGGGAAGGAUUCAGAGUAAAUAACCUGUUUGGUGGUUUGAGAGAGUUUACCAAGUGCUCUUGAGUACUGCAUUUCAUUUCUUGAUAGGAGUCAGGUUUUUUCAUGUGAUUGAUUUGUUGAGAACAGCAAAAUUAAGCACUUUUGUCGACUGUCCACUCUUGUUAAAGAUAAAAUAGAAAUUCUUCUGGUAACUCCCUGCUUCAGGUCUUCUUUCUCAUCAUACUAGUUCUUGCUCUAUCAUGUCGUGAAAUUCGCAGGGGCCAAACAAUAUGGGCAGGAUAUUGGAGGA
Long non-coding RNA from Papaver somniferum (opium poppy), 956 nucleotides. RefSeq lists it as uncharacterized. The transcript has 4 exons. The record is from RefSeq and is a predicted model, not a curated record. Lineage: Eukaryota; Viridiplantae; Streptophyta; Magnoliopsida; Ranunculales; Papaveraceae.